ACAAGGUGUGGAGCCUGCGGCUUAAUUUGACUCAACACGGGUAAACUCACCCGGCCCGGACACAGGAAGGAUUGACAGAUUGAGAGCUCUUUCUUGAUUCUGUGGGUGGUGGUGCAUGGCCGCUCUUAGUUGGUGGAGCGAUUUGUCUGGUUAAUUCCGUUAACGAACGAGACUCUAGCCUACUAAAUAGACGUUCCGAUCCUCCGAGUCGGACGUUCUUCUUAGAGGGACGGGCGGCGAUUAGCCGCACGAAACAGAGCAAUAGCAGGUCUGUGAUGCCCUUUGAUGUCCGGGGCCGCACGCGCGCUACAUUGAAGGAACCAGCGUGUGCUUUCCCUGUCCGACAGGACUGGGUAACCCGUUGAACCUCCUUCGUGCUGGGGAUAGCAAAUUGUAAUUAUUUUGCUUGAACGAGGAACACCCAGUAAGCACGAGUCAUCAGCUCGUGUUGACUAUGUCCCUGGCCUUUGUUCACACCGCCCGUCGCUACUACCGAUUGAAUGAUUUAGUGAGGUCUUCAGACUGGCGCUCGGAUUGGCUUUCGGGUCGAGCCGACGUGCCGGAAAGAUGACCAAACUUGAUCAUUUAGAGGAAGUA
RNAcentral lists this ribosomal RNA (597 nucleotides) under Neriene sp. 3 LT-2015. RNAcentral's name for it is "SSU rRNA". It matches the Rfam family "Eukaryotic small subunit ribosomal RNA", at positions 1169 to 1784 of the family's 1831-position model. The record is from RNAcentral. Lineage: Eukaryota; Metazoa; Arthropoda; Arachnida; Araneae; Linyphiidae. RNAcentral also lists the same sequence under 1 other name.